This 467-nucleotide ribosomal RNA is filed under the name uncultured bacterium. RNAcentral's name for it is "partial 16S ribosomal RNA". It matches the Rfam family "Bacterial small subunit ribosomal RNA", at positions 28 to 507 of the family's 1533-position model. The record is from RNAcentral.
GACGAACGCUGGCGGCGUGCUUAAUACAUGCAAGUCGAACGGAAAGGCGUGUUUCGGGGGGUUCUCGCGUGGGCAACGGGCGAGUAACACACACGUGGCUUGCCUUUGUCUUUGGGUUAGCUACCGUCAACUGGGGCUAAUACAGGACAGGUGAUACUGUUGACUGGAGGGGGCUGGAAAGUUUCGGGGGUUGGGGAUGGCUUCUGGGUUUAUCAGCUUGUCGGUGGGGAAGUGGCUUACUAAGGCCUUGCCGGGUAGCCGGUCUGAGAGGGUGACCGGCAACAUUGGGACUGAGAUACGGCCCAGACUCCGACGGGAGGCAGCAGUGGGGAAUAUUGCACAAUGGGUGGAAGCCGGAUGCAGCAACGCCGGGUGCGGGAUGACGGCCUUCGGGUUGGAAACCGCUUGCGCUCAUGACGAAGCUUUGUGUGACGGUAGUGGGUAAAGAAGCACCGGCUAACUACGUG